RNAcentral lists this ribosomal RNA (497 nucleotides) under uncultured bacterium. RNAcentral's name for it is "partial 16S ribosomal RNA". It matches the Rfam family "Bacterial small subunit ribosomal RNA", at positions 28 to 507 of the family's 1533-position model. The record is from RNAcentral.
GACGAACGCUGGCGGCGUGCCUAAUACAUGCCAGUUGAGCGCUGAAGGUUGGUACUUGUACCGACUGGAUGAGCAGCGAACGGGUGAGUAACGCGUGGGGAAUCUGCCUUUGAGCGGGGGACAACAUUUGGAAACGAAUGCUAAUACCGCAUAAAAACUUUAAACACAAGUUUUAAGUUUGAAAGAUGCAAUUGCAUCACUCAAAGAUGAUCCCGCGUUGUAUUAGCUAGUUGGUGAGGUAAAGGCUCACCAAGGCGAUGAUACAUAGCCGACCUGAGAGGGUGAUCGGCCACAUUGGGACUGAGACACGGCCCAAACUCCUACGGGAGGCAGCUGUAGGGAAUCUUCGGCAAUGGACGAAAGUCUGACCGAGCAACGCCGCGUGAGUGAAGAAGGUUUUCGGAUCGUAAAACUCUGUUGGUAGAGAAGAACGUUGGUGAGAGUGGAAAGCUCAUCAAGUGACGGUAACUACCCAGAAAGGGACGGCUAACUACGUG